This is a long non-coding RNA of Aphis gossypii (cotton aphid), 847 nucleotides long. RefSeq lists it as uncharacterized. The record is from RefSeq and is a predicted model, not a curated record. Lineage: Eukaryota; Metazoa; Arthropoda; Insecta; Hemiptera; Aphididae. The transcript has 4 exons.
GUGACAUUGGGGACUCCCCACGCCCGUGGAUCGUAGGAAAAAAAAAAUUACACCACUUGCGGCGGCGCAAGCGCGCGAGUACCUGGGCACCGCGUCAGUAUAUUAUUAUUAUUAUUAUUAUGUGUGGUUUAUUUUUCGUGUAAUAUUAUUAUACUUAUAUAGGCUUGCACGUUGCACGCCCGACCGACUGCCAGUAGUCUUGUAUAAGGUAUGAUAUUGGUUCAUUCACUCGAACGGGCCUCAUGCGGCGGCGGUUUCCUCCCGCCACGGCUGUUCUCAAAUUCACCGAUCGUCAGCGUGCACGCGGCGGUCCGAUGUAGUACCUGUCAUUUCACGUGUCUGGCGCGUGGUAUAGUCGUCGAGUGGGAAAGAUUGUUAGUUGGGAACGUAUGAAGAACGGCAUUUUAAGUAACUUUUUAUUAUCGACCGUAGGUCUCGCAGACAUAUGUACACAAACGGAUUUGAAUCACAUGUGACUUUUGUGCUGGUUCUGCAACGGACGAUCUUCUCUUGUCGUGAAUAUGAUACUGCAGUAGUCCAAUGACAUUAAAGCGAUGAGGGACUUUUGGCACACACUGUACGACAGAAAUUAAAUAUUAUAAUAUGUUGGUCGUGAUCAUUCGACCCGCCCAUUGUUUUACCCUACCACAUUUAGACCCGACCAAUUACACGACUCCACGAUCGAGGUAACAGUUCGCCGUUUGUAUAUAAAAACGAUGUGCAUACGAAAUCAUGCAAACGAAUCAACUUAGAAUCGCCACUACAAGCGAUCCACCGAGGAGUAAAUUCCGAUAUCGUACAGCAUAAUAUUAUACAGGUUUGUAUAACGACAACAACAACAACAAUA